Molecule: ribosomal RNA, 468 nt
Filed under: uncultured bacterium
Lineage: Bacteria
Description: partial 16S ribosomal RNA
Rfam family: Bacterial small subunit ribosomal RNA
Source: RNAcentral
GACGAACGCUGGCGGCGUGCUUAACACAUGCAAGUCGAACGGAAAGGCCCUGCUUUUGUGGGGUGCUCGAGUGGCGAACGGGUGAGUAACACGUGAGUAACCUGCCCUUGACUUUGGGAUAACUUCAGGAAACUGGGGCUAAUACCGGAUAGGAGCUCCUGCUGCAUGGUGGGGGUUGGAAAGUUUCGGCGGUUGGGGAUGGACUCGCGGCUUAUCAGCUUGUUGGUGGGGUAGUGGCUUACCAAGGCUUUGACGGGUAGCCGGCCUGAGAGGGUGACCGGCGACAUUGGGACUGAGAUAGGGCCCAGACUGCUACGGGAGGCAGCAGGGGGGAAUAUGGCACAAUGGGCGGAAGCGUGAUGAAGCAACGCCGCGUGCGGGAUGACGGCCUUCGGGUUAUAAACCGCUUUCGCCUGUGACGAAGCGUGAGUGACGGUAAUGGGUAAAGAAGCACCGGCUAACUACGUG